UGAAAUUAGUAAAAUAAUACUAAAAUUUGUAUAAGUCAUUUUUAGAAAGAUAGCUGAAAUUAUUUAGAAAUGAUAAUAUUGUACACAACUGUUAUUCAUUUGAUACAAAGAUAAGAGUACAUAUUUAUUUGAUACAAAGAUAAGAGUACAUAUUCUUCAGCCACUUUCCUUUUUUAAGAGCUAAUCAUCAUAUUUGGAAAUAUUUGGCCUUGGUUCAAAAUCAUCAUACUUUGUGGUACUUGGUCUUGGUUCAAAAUCAUUGUACUUUGUAGUGCUUGGUCUUGGUUCAAAAUCAUUGUACUUUGUAGUGCUUGGUCUUGAUUCAAAAUCAUUGUACUUGGUAACACUUGGUAUAGGUUCAAUAUCAUCCUUUUUGCUAGCUUUUAACUUGAAUUCAAAAUCACCAUAUUUAGUAGCACUUGGUCGUGGUUCAAAAUCAUCAUAUUUGGUAGUACUUGGUCUAGGUUUAAAAUCAUCUUUCUUGUUAGCACUUAACUUAAGUCCAAAAUCAUCAUACUUAGUAGCACUUGAUCGAGGUUCGAAAUCAUUAUACUUAGUAACACUUGGUCGAGAUUCAAGAGACUCUUCACAUUCAUGCUUGAAAUCUUUAACAAAUUGACCUUGAGUAUUGGGAUUAUUUUCAGAUUGAAUUGGAAGAAGGCCUUGAAGUCCUUCUGGCAUUUGCUGGUCUUUCAUU
Molecule: long non-coding RNA, 697 nt
Filed under: Vigna radiata
Lineage: Eukaryota; Viridiplantae; Streptophyta; Magnoliopsida; Fabales; Fabaceae
Description: long non-coding RNA (VRAD_LNC001447)
Source: RNAcentral